GGUAACCUGAUUACUUUUGUCAGAGGAAGAAAAAAGUGGUUGAGUGGAGGCGCUGCUCCGACGAAUUCGCGUCGACGACGCUGUUACGUUCGCCAGACAAGAGGGAUUGGCUGGCAUCCAUCCCCGUGUUCGUAUGUUUCGGGAACCGUACCUGGACCCAGCAGACACACACACUGUCCAAAAGGCGGUGGCUGCAAACACCGCCUUGAUUCGUCGGUUUUCUUCCCAUCGACGGCAUAAGUAGCGCGUUUCCGCGCGGCUUGCGGCCAGUUCCUGUUCGACCAUCGUCAUACGACUGUAGCGGCAAAGCGCGGGCGUAUGUGGAAUCUUCCAACACACAUGCACGCGCAAAGAUAUAUGCACGAUGGCGUUUACACGCGCGCGUACGCGAAAGCUGUGCAUGUGUACCGUACCUCUCUCUGCAUCAUGUGGCACGUAUGUACACGGUGCCUUCGCCGAGUAUCGGUCACGUUAGAUCGGGAAUGGCCUCCUCCGUGUGUGUGUGUAUGUGCGUGCGUGCGCACUUCCUACGCGCGUGUGGUUGUGUAUCCCGUGGACAGUAAACGCCGCGGGAAUUCGUGGUGUGCAAUCGGCCAAUGACAGGCCAAAUAGCAACGGCUGUGCGCCAAUCAGCGAACAGAAAUGUUCGCGAAUGCGCGCCACAGUUGCCACCGGAUGUCGAUCAUAGCCAGUAGUGGGGAUAAACUGAGAGUGCGGCACGGGCUACGCGCUCGAGCGCAUCCUCGUUCGUCGCUGCUCGCCGUCGGAGUCGGUCGCGUUUAACGCUCGAGUCUUCUCUUUCUCUCACACUCCCUCUCUCUCUCUCUCUGUCUCUGGCAGUUUUCCGAAUCCGAAGAUAAAGGAGGAGAAAACCUCUCUCCGUUGUUCGCUUCGACCACGUUCUCCACGACGACGACCGAUGGUCCUCCGUCACUUUGGACAUCCGAAAUCGUCACGGUCGUCUCUGUGCCUGUUACCUCGCCGCUCUUGGACCUCUGCGAUUUUUUCAUGCAUCAUCGUCGUGCCGCGCAUCGUCCGAUUCGUUUGAUUUUCACGUUGUGCCGUGGUUGCCGUGCUCUGCGAACUGCGUUCUACUUGCAAAACCAAAGGCCCGUACCUGUAACUAGCAACCAAAUGAUGGACAGUGGAGCCUCGGACCGUCACUGUGCACCGUUUCUUGUUACCGCUUUUUGCCAUUUAUCCGCAAGUGUUCCGCGAAGAUUUCACACGUUUUUGAUACAGUCCGUGAUUGUCCCGCGCAGAGAAACAAAUUUUUUUUCUUUUUUUGUUUCGUUGGACUCCAAGUAAGGAAAGGACAUGCACGAUUCUCUUCGCGUGCAAUGAGAGAAAAAAAAACUGUAUACGGUAUUUCCAGUGGGUUAAGUUCGUUUGAAAAGGACAGUACUUGUACUAUGAUUUUGUUGACACGUUUCACGGUAUAGAGAAAAGUCGAUGGAUAAAAACGAGAAGUUUGGAAAGUUUUACCACUCCUUAGGAAGAAUGGACAGGUAGGAGACGAUGAUGGAAUUGAGAUAUGCCGUGCGCGCACGUACAUGUAAGGAGGAAAGGGAAGUGGGACUGGCUUGCCUUGUGCCACUUUAUACGUACGUACCGCUAUCGAGAUCGUAGUCUCGAUAUUCUGUACCGAUCUUGUAAUAUUACCAGAUUCGUUUCUUCCCUCGAUAUCGCUGACAUUGGUUUCGCUUGUUAUCGCUGUCGAACCAAGCGUGCCCCCAAGUUGCAAAUCUCUAGAUCAUUGAAUUUUUUUUCCUUUUUUGCGAAAAAGAAACUUUUUGGUAGUAUUGAAAUUUUUGUAUACAGAAUGUUUUUAGCGUGAUCGGUUCGCUUUAAUAAUCGCGACGAAACGAAAUAAUUUUAUCGAAGACAUUGGGACGUGUGUGCUUUCGGAAGGCGUAAGUAUCGGUUGAAAUCUGUGCAAGAGAGAAAAAAGAAGAGCGAGCGACGGGUGGACACAACAACCGCCAUUUUAUAGAAACCACCGCAUUGCGGCCAUCUUUUGUAUAGUAACCGAACCGUUUCCAUUUCCAUUUGGGAUUGCUUGAUUGGCUCGAAUUCCGUUCCACGCGCUGUCUAAUUUUACACGGUGUCCUCGAAUCCGCCUCGCCAUGGCUCAUCGUGUGCUUGCUACCUGAGUCCGAGAAAACGCGUUUCCUAUCAAAAUCGCUCGCAACCUUUUUGCCGGCUUUCUGCUGAAAUUCCCCGGAAUUUCCAACUCGGAAAUGUCAACCUCGUAGCCAUAAACGAAUGGUCGCCAGCUAUUGAAUUUGUAUGCACCACGUGCGUGAAUGUGUGUGUGUACAUAUGUGUGUAAUUGCUUUGUUUACACAGAUACGUGUGCGUAAAUUUGUAACAAAUUGUAAGCAAUAAAAUUUAUACGAUAGGUGAAGCGAAAUGUGCUACGCAUGUGCAUGUGAGAAUGAUGCACAACCGUUUUAUUGUAACGAGGCUGAAAUUGAAAAUAAACGUACAAUUACGAAA
Frieseomelitta varia is the source of this 2499-nucleotide long non-coding RNA. RefSeq lists it as uncharacterized. The transcript is spliced from 2 exons. NCBI's taxonomy places the organism in Eukaryota, Metazoa, Arthropoda, Insecta, Hymenoptera, Apidae. The record is from RefSeq and is a predicted model, not a curated record.